GCCGGUUCUUCCUCUGGAAGGUCACCACAGCCCCCAGUCAAAGCUGCUGACUCCGGGACAGAACACGACUCCAGGACUUUUAACAUCCCAACCCUGAAAAAUCUUCUAACGCCCAAGGAGGCAGAGGUGGACGCAAAUGGCCACCCGUUUCUUAAGUGAAAGAGACAGAACUGUUCUGUAGAUGGGACUCACCUUCCCGCUCAGGCCAGCCACGCGAGACUCCAGCCCAGACGACCUGGCCGAGUUCUGAGACAGAUAUGGUGUGCCGAGGUUGCAGGGGAGACUUAUCAAAGCUCUGGGGAAUAGACUUUCAAAUGGGACAGGGAGGAGCUAGGGCUUUGGCGGGAAGAGAUGACUGUUCGAGUAUUUCGUCGGUUUGCUUUUCAUAGUAUAUUUCACUUUCAUAAAUAUUUAUUUUAUAAGUAAUUUCACUUUCAGGAGAAAUUUAAGAUAUAUUGAUUGGGAAGCUCUGUUCUAAUUGGAUUUUCCAGGUUAUUUUUGUAAAGUGUCAAAAGUACAUGUGGUUAUUUUGUUUAGCAACAUUAAUUAAAAGCACUGCAAAGUGCUUUUAAACAAAUUGCUUCUUCAAAUCCUUUUGGCAACAGGGCACCAAUGAAUAGAUAACUAAGAAUAACACUUCCGCAGGUGCACAGUUGGGAAAUAUCUGCCAUUCUAGACCAGGAAACCAAUCUUCUGUAACAACAAAUAUUUAGUUCACUAGACACAGGCAGCACCUACAUGCAUCCGGGAUAUUUUCCAUAGACAUCAAGCGGUGUACUCACGAUUACAACAUGAAUGUUUGUAUUACUUCAGCCAUAAAUGUAAGAUGAUUAUUUAGCCCCAAAUUAAAUAAACUAUUUCCAUA
Phyllostomus hastatus (greater spear-nosed bat) is the source of this 865-nucleotide long non-coding RNA. RefSeq lists it as uncharacterized. The record is from RefSeq and is a predicted model, not a curated record. Lineage: Eukaryota; Metazoa; Chordata; Mammalia; Chiroptera; Phyllostomidae. The transcript has 2 exons.